UUGUGUUUCUGAGUGCACGUGUUUAUGCUUGUGUUGUGUGAAGCUCUGUUAUCUAAUAUUUGUGUAUGGAUUUGAAAACCUAAUGAAGAUAAAUUGAGUGUUAUUCAGUAUUUAUGAGAAAGCCAAGUAGAGAUAGUUAUAGAUGGAGGUUGAACUUCUGUCCCGACACUUAGACUUUGGUUGAGUUUUAUGAGAAUGCUGUAGCAGAGCCAGGAAAACAAAAAAAAAAGAGUAGAAAAUAUCUCAAGUUUG
This 252-nucleotide long non-coding RNA is filed under the name Citrus sinensis (sweet orange). Its description in RNAcentral is "long non-coding RNA (CSIN_LNC000598)". Lineage: Eukaryota; Viridiplantae; Streptophyta; Magnoliopsida; Sapindales; Rutaceae. The record is from RNAcentral.